RNAcentral lists this ribosomal RNA (472 nucleotides) under uncultured bacterium. RNAcentral describes it as "bacterial SSU rRNA". It matches the Rfam family "Bacterial small subunit ribosomal RNA", at positions 28 to 507 of the family's 1533-position model. The record is from RNAcentral.
GAUGAACGCUGGCGGCGUGACUUAACACAUGCAAGUCGAACGGACUUUUGUUGAAGCCUAGCGAUAUAAAAGUUAGUGGCGGACGGGUGAGUAACGCGUGAAUAACCUGCCUUAUACUGGGGGACAACAGUUGGAAACGACUGCUAAUACCGCAUAAGCGCACGGUUCUGCAUGGAACAGUGUGAAAAACUCCGGUGGUAUAAGAUGGAUUCGCGUCUGAUUAGAUAGUUGGUGAGGUAACGGCUCGACCAAGUCGACGAUCAGUAGCCGGCCUGAGAGGGUGAACGGCCACAUUGGGACUGAGACACGGCCCAAACUCCUACGGGAGGCAGCAGUGGGGAAUAUUGGGCAAUGGGCGCAAGCCUGACCCAGCAACGCCGCGUGAGGGAAGAAGGUCUUCGGAUCGUAAACCUAUGUCGCAGAGGACGAGUAGAAGACGGUACUCUGCAAGGAAGCCCCGGCUAACUACGUG